This 662-nucleotide ribosomal RNA is filed under the name Escherichia coli. RNAcentral's name for it is "partial 23S ribosomal RNA". It matches the Rfam family "Bacterial large subunit ribosomal RNA", at positions 1 to 706 of the family's 2925-position model. Lineage: Bacteria; Pseudomonadati; Pseudomonadota; Gammaproteobacteria; Enterobacterales; Enterobacteriaceae. The record is from RNAcentral.
GGUUAAGCGACUAAGCGUACACGGUGGAUGCCCUGGCAGUCAGAGGCGAUGAAGGACGUGCUAAUCUGCGAUAAGCGUCGGUAAGGUGAUAUGAACCGUUAUAACCGGCGAUUUCCGAAUGGGGAAACCCAGUGUGAUUCGUCACACUAUCAUUAACUGAAUCCAUAGGUUAAUGAGGCGAACCGGGGGAACUGAAACAUCUAAGUACCCCGAGGAAAAGAAAUCAACCGAGAUUCCCCCAGUAGCGGCGAGCGAACGGGGAGCAGCCCAGAGCCUGAAUCAGUGUGUGUGUUAGUGGAAGCGUCUGGAAAGGCGCGCGAUACAGGGUGACAGCCCCGUACACAAAAAUGCACAUACUGUGAGCUCGAUGAGUAGGGCGGGACACGUGGUAUCCUGUCUGAAUAUGGGGGGACCAUCCUCCAAGGCUAAAUACUCCUGACUGACCGAUAGUGAACCAGUACCGUGAGGGAAAGGCGAAAAGAACCCCGGCGAGGGGAGUGAAAAAGAACCUGAAACCGUGUACGUACAAGCAGUGGGAGCCUCUUUAUGGGGUGACUGCGUACCUUUUGUAUAAUGGGUCAGCGACUUAUAUUCUGUAGCAAGGUUAACCGAAUAGGGGAGCCGAAGGGAAACCGAGUCUUAACUGGGCGUUAAGUUGCAGG